UUCCGGUUGAUCCUGCCGGAGGCCACUGCUAUCGGAGUUCGAUUAAGCCAUGCGAGUCGAGAGGUGCAAGACCUCGGCAUACUGCUCAGUAACACGUGGACAACCUACCCUGUGGAGGGGAUAACCCCGGGAAACUGGGGAUAAUACCCCAUAGACUAUGGAUGCUGGAAUGCUCUGUAGCCGAAAGGUCCGCCGCCACAGGAUGGGUCUGCGGCCGAUUAGGUUGUUGUUGGGGUAACGGCCCAACAAGCCUGUAAUCGGUACGGGUUGUGGGAGCAAGAGCCCGGAGAUGGAUUCUGAGACACGAAUCCAGGCCCUACGGGGCGCAGCAGGCGCGAAAACUUUACAAUGCGGGAAACCGUGAUAGGGGAACUCCGAGUGCCCGUAAAAUCGGGCUGUCCAUCAGUUUAAAUAACUGGUGAAGAAAGGGCCGGGCAAGACCGGUGCCAGCCGCCGCGGUAAUACCGGCGGCUCGAGUGGUGGCCACUAUUACUGGGCUUAAAGCGUUCGUAGCUGGUUUGUUAAGUCCCUGGGGAAAUCUUCCGGCUUAACCGGAAGGCGUCUCAGGGAUACUGGCAGACUAGGGACCGGGAGAGGUGAGGGGUACUCCAGGGGUAGGAGUGAAAUCCUGUAAUCCUUGGGGGACCACCUGUGGCGAAGGCGCCUCACCAGAACGGCUCCGACAGUGAGGAACGAAAGCUGGGGGAGCAAACCGGAUUAGAUACCCGGGUAGUCCCAGCUGUAAACGAUGCGCGUUAGGUGUAUCGGUGACCACGAGUUACCGAGGUGCCGAAGAGAAAUCGUGAAACGUGCCGCCUGGGAAGUACGGUCGCAAGGCUGAAACUUAAAGGAAUUGGCGGG
RNAcentral lists this ribosomal RNA (861 nucleotides) under uncultured euryarchaeote VAL9. RNAcentral's name for it is "bacterial SSU rRNA". It matches the Rfam family "Archaeal small subunit ribosomal RNA", at positions 1 to 872 of the family's 1478-position model. The record is from RNAcentral. Lineage: Archaea; Methanobacteriati; Methanobacteriota.